AUCCGGGUUGCGGACAGUGUCUGGUGGGUAGUUUGACUGGGGCGGUCUCCUCCUAAAGAGUAACGGAGGAGCACGAAGGUUGGCUAAUCCUGGUCGGACAUCAGGAGGUUAGUGCAAUGGCAUAAGCCAGCUUGACUGCGAGCGUGACGGCGCGAGCAGGUGCGAAAGCAGGUCAUAGUGAUCCGGUGGUUCUGAAUGGAAGGGCCAUCGCUCAACGGAUAAAAGGUACUCCGGGGAUAACAGGCUGAUAGCGCCCAAGAGUUCAUAUCGACGGCGGUGUUUGGCACCUCGAUGUCGGCUCAUCACAUCCUGGGGCUGAAGUAGGUCCCAAGGGUAUGGCUGUUCGCCAUUUAAAGUGGUACGCGAGCUGGGUUUAGAACGUCGUGAGACAGUUCGGUCCCUAUCUGCCGUGGGCGCUGGAGAACUGAGGGGGGCUGCUCCUAGUACGAGAGGACCGGAGUGGACGCAUCACUGGUGUUCGGGUUGUCAUGCCAAUGGCACUGCCCGGUAGCUAAAUGCGGAAGAGAUAAGUGCUGAAAGCAUCUAAGCACGAAACUUGCCCCGAGAUGAGUUCUCCCUGACUCCUUGAGAGUCCUGAAGGAACGUUGAAGACGACGACGUUGAUAGGCCGGGUGUGUAAGCGCAGCGAUGCGUUGAGCUAACCGGUACUAAUGAACCGUGAGGCUUAACCUUACAACGCCGAAGCUGUU
This 710-nucleotide ribosomal RNA is filed under the name Escherichia coli. RNAcentral's name for it is "partial 23S ribosomal RNA". It matches the Rfam family "Bacterial large subunit ribosomal RNA", at positions 2238 to 2925 of the family's 2925-position model. The record is from RNAcentral. Lineage: Bacteria; Pseudomonadati; Pseudomonadota; Gammaproteobacteria; Enterobacterales; Enterobacteriaceae.